CUCGGCUUACACGAGCACAGAGACUCGCGCGUUCGAGUAGAGCAAACGUCUCAACGUUCCCGAACGAAUCGAACCCGUUUUCGUGUGUUUUUUACUUCAAGAAAGUGUAGUGUUUCACAGACGUAUGGAUAAACAAGUGCUUGGUGACAAACUAACUGCGUUCCGUAUUCACGGUGUGAGUUUGAAAAGUUUUGUGAAGUUGUUCUAAACUUUAACUAACUGUGUUUGUGUCUAAGUAUCUAAGCUUAUAUUGUUUUAAUUCGGUGGUUAACUGUGCGUCUAUAUAGAGCAUACUGCACAUGGUCACAAAAAUAAAGUUGACACGAAAUGCAGCUCAGAAUGUCGUAAGGUAUUAAUUUGGAUAUGAGAGGAUGAGCCAUGGAAUCACGGAGCGCGCCGCCAAGCCCCGACGAGGCAGGGGAGGCGGUGUUCAACUCACACUGUGGACGAUACAACAACCAGCAAUCGUUACAAAGAGUAUUUGCAAGCUACAGAGAUUCAUCGAGACCUCGCCCACACCAUCGGCAUGCAAUAUCAGAGCCCGCACGACCAGAAGAAAGAGCAUUUACUACGGCAGAGGUUCACGACUAUCCUUCGUCAGAAUCAGGAAUCGCAGCGGAUUGUCCCCAUGCUCACAGCAGUAAUGCAGAUGAUAGCCCAUGCUAUGAUCGUUCGGAUUGUGAAGCGAAUUCAAGUUAUAGUCUAAGACAACACUUUAAUCAUACCAUUGAUUGUACUAAACAUCGACCAGAGUUCCACAGAAGCCAAACUCCAGAUUAUCACGAGCACGGCUCAGACAGUGACAGAGGUCAUCCUCGCAAUCAAACUAAUAGGAGACCUUACAGAAAGCACAGAAGAGAAGAACAUGAUGAUGGUGCUCACUCUUUAGAUGAGAGAUGCGCUCGGGAUCUCGAUGAAAUUUUACCAGCUAGACUUGCAAGUAUAAAUGUAUCCAGGGAUCCAGUUGCACAGUCAUGGAAUCGAAGCAAUAUUGCUGCGACAAUGGAGAGAUUUGAACCAGUCGAUUAUUCUUACGCAUAUUACGAUCAUCAUUUGUCUAUGCCAUCAUCCUCCCGAAAGGCUAAUCGCCAUCGUGGAAGGGGCGGAAUUCCAAGAGAACGAACUGAUCGGCAUAAUUUUGUAACAAGAUAUGGCACUGAGGAAAAUAUAUACGAAGAAAUUACAGAUGGCUCACGGACAUGUCCAAAACAUAGGCAUGUACCCCGACAAUCACUUAUAUCACUCGAUAGAAGUGUAGUUGAAGAAGAAGUACGUCGAGUUGAGUCUAGACAUAAAAGGAUAUUAGGUGAAUUAAACUUAAGCGUAGAAGCCAUGCUCAUGCCUGAGUGCGAAUCACCUGAUUCAGAAAGAGCUGAGGAUAGAGACAACAUAGAAGAGUUGUUAAGAGUGGGUCCAACGGAUGAGUUAUUAUCUCCCGCUAGCUGUAAUCCUCCAGAUUUAGACAGUGGUUUUAGUGGAAGUAGUAGUGGUGCAAGUUAUGUGGGAAGUUUACGUAGAAAACCAACUGGAUCUGUGCCUCACUUACCCGCAGUUGCAUAUGGAACACGUGGCGGUGGUGUGAGGAUUCUAGGAACCGAUGACUGCAACAUUCGAUUUCCUAGAGAUUCUUCAUCGCCCCGCAGUUCAAGUUGUGGUGAUGCCAAGUCGAGUGGAUUUUGGAAUAAAAAGGCAUGGAAGAAGUUAUCCGGGUUUUCAAGUUCAAAUAGUAUAAACAAAGCAGGUUUAGCUGGUCUGCUCGUUAGGUACACUUUCCGGCGUAAGUCCGGCACGCAAGGCUCGCAAAGCAAGCGGCGUCCCGAGUCUGUCAAAUGCGAUGCCUGCCUGUCCCAACGAUGUUAGAUGAUCUAUGAUGAAGCCUGUAGGCCAAGCAGAGCUAAAUCCAGAACUUCUCCCAUACAAUGCAGUUACUCAAACGGAAAACUGGUGGUGCCGAUGGAUUCCCUAGCACAAACAUAAAGGAAUCCAAUGAAAACACAGACUUAGUAUUUUUAUCAUUGAAAGGCAAAAUAUUUUUCACUACUACCAAAAUAAUACGUUCGUAUGAUGGAUUUAGAAUACGCCGUAAAUAGUGAAAUAUUUCGAUGAUGUAUGGAAGCAGAAUAAAAAAUUAUUACAUUCCAUACCUUUUAUGUAAAGUAAUAUUUACAAGUUGAAUGUUUAGUAUACAUUGUGUCUUAAAGAUACUUUGUUAAGGCUUGGCUUAAAUAAUAUUCUAUGUGAAAAUAGUUGUAAAUAGAUCACGUAAUAUUGAUAUGAAGAUGUAUACGGUGUGGUGAAAGCUUAGAUAUUUCUAUUGUUACAACGAGUUUCAUGGAAACAAAUAGAAAAUGUUGGUAAUAUAAUGACAUAUUUCAGAUGGUACUACAGAAAUCUCUUAACACUCAUAUUACAAGUUGAAAAGCGACUUUCAAUUAAUAAUUUAUUUAUUCGAAAACAAAAUUGUUAAUAUUUAAUUUUUAAAUUCGGGUCUUUUAUCACGGAGAGUGCUCAGAGAAAUGGUUCAGGAAAAUAAUUAAUACCAGCAGUUGAAUUUCAUCAUCGAAUAUUAUACCAAAAUGUGAAAUUCCGCUCUCAUGAAGUUGGCAUUCGGGAACCGUGCCCUUCACAAAAACUUCUAGCCUCGUAAUGCCACUAUGUGGAGCGAACUGCUGGCUGCAGUAUCCCCGAACCCUUAUGACUUAGGGACUUUCAACCUUAGAGCUUUCUCCUAUCAGGCUGGCAUUGCAUUUUUUGACCUCUGGAAUUACGUAUAUCCAUGUUGCCACUAUCCAUGCCUCUGAUUGUCUCCUCCAUAUAAAAAUAUGUUAAAAUUAAGGGCUUAUCAUCAAAUAAUGCGGCUGCUAAUUUAUAUAUAUUUUUGUUAUCACGUGCUAAGCCAUCAGAACCAAAUGUUGUCUUCUUGAGUUCAAAUUUCGCCAGGACUUGCCUGUAAUCAAUUCGAUACGUGUUACAUGCCAAAUGAGUCUCGUGCCAAAAUUUGGCGAGUCAACAUCUCCAGAGGAUGCCACGUUUAGAGGCGAAACAGAUGUCGCAUUGAAGACAAAUCUUAGCGGAAUUUACAAUCUCUCUCGGAAAAGGAGACUCUCAAUAUUUGGAUAGUUAUUGAUUUCCGAAAAAUAACGCCAAAUUCAAUAAAACUAUCAGAUCUUAAUUUUUUGAUAAAUUAUAUAAUUAAUAUUAUUCAAAAUAUAAUGAAACAGUUAAAAUUAAUUUUGCUCGAUCGACAAAAGAAACGUAAGCGCGACUUUUUUCAGCGUUAUGUGUUUUAUUUUACAAAAUUUUAUAAGAAUGAUUUUGACUCAAUUGAUUUACAUUAGCUAAAAAUCGAUAAAAUCUGAUUCUUUUGGAAGAUUUUGACUUACUUGGCAGUAAGGGAUAACCUUGCAAUUAAGCCGCGCCUAUGCCAACAGUAAAUUGUGAAAAAUACCUUCAAAGUAAAUUAAAGGUUUAACAGAAGAUUUUUUUUUUAUUAUUUUUUGAUUAGGACUCAGAUGCUAGCAUGUUUGGCUAACGGGCAAACUUGAAAUUUUUCUUGUCUGUAUUUUGUCAGGUAAUUGAAGGCCUUACUUAAAAUAUUAUUAAAAUUUUGUUUCAAUUGAUAUAAUACAUACUGUAUCAACAGCGUGUUUCCCAAAAAUUUUUUAGAUAAAUUCACACUUUCAUCUUUAGGCCAAACUGCCGCUGUAGUCUAGUCUAGUUAGACUUAUCUAAUCUUGGGUACCAAAAUAAACUUUCAUAAAAGAUAGUAUCGUACAUGUAAUUGUGUUGUUAAAAGUCAUAAUUAACAGGUGAUGCCUUACCAUAAAAUUACCCGAACCUUCGUUAUUUCUCCCGUCCCAUACAAAAUUACGCAAAUUCAUAUACUUAUAUAGCCUUACAAAUAAAAUUGGCAUAAAGUUAUAACUAACAUUAACCAAAAAUAGUAAAAUGUUUACAAAUAGACAUUUUGCUUACGAAUGGUUUGUUCUGACGCAUAACGUUUCCCGCGUUUAUUUGCAAGGCAGCUUGUCAUUCGGGAAACUUCAGAAUUAUCAUUGUAUUGACAGGGUUGUCAACGAUACUGUAAACAUUUUGCAUUUUCUUUGUUUAUCAUCAGUUAUAACUUUAUACCAAGUUUAUUUGUAAGGCCGUUAAUGAGUAACUGAAUCUGUGUUGUCAAUAGCAAUCUUCAAUAUGACGGUUCAUGUUUAUGUUCUGAAAUCAAUAACAACAGUUAAGUAUAUGGUGCUUAAGCAAAAUAUGGUUUUGUUUUGCCAUUCUAAGCCUCAAGGUCCAACAUGUCAUUCGUAACAUAAGUCCGUAUUAUAUUAAAUAAAUUAUUGUUCAAGAUUGUUAUAUUUGUUAGUAUAUAAUGAAAUGUAAAUAUAUGCACUCAAAUGUAAAUAGAACGCUGUAUAUGUAAAUCACAAUGUUAGGCUACGGGUCUGUGUAACUGCCAAUUUUGAAUAUUUUGUAUAAUUGUGUAACAGAAUUUAUUGUAGUAUUUGAAUGUAAAAUAAAUAUUACAGAAAUAGCAACAUACAUUGAACAACCGACCACAGUUCACACGUAUUAGCUUCAGUUUUUUAAACUCUGCUACACUAUGUUCAAAAAUACUAGAACAGUUUCAAAUAAUAAUUGUUAUAAAGCUGGGGAUUUGACACCUUACCUAACACAUUUUGUAAAUGAACUAUCCUCAAACAUCUCACUUGCGUCUUCUGUUUCAACGGUUAUCAUUUGAAAAAAGCAUUAAUCUGUCAAGAUAUACCACUUCCGUUUCAAAUUAGUGAAUUAUUUAUGCUAACAAAAUUUCUUUCUAAUUUUUGUUUCCAAUUGCGAUAAAUUUUCCAAAAUACUUGAGCCAUUAAUCUGAAAGGCUGUUCAAACUUUCAAAUAUUUUGUUAUCGAUAAUUACUUCUGAUAUUGAUGAGCCUAGUUCUAAACUUUGUUCUUUUAUUACAGAUUGGGUUUAUUAGUGUGCUGUUUGUACGUAGAUUAUGUUAGAUGUUCGUAAUGAUGUGGAUCAUUAUUUUAAUUGUACACAUUUCUAUAUGCUAGAAAACUUAAGUAAAAGUUAUUGUAAUGGAUACUAGCUGCCAACGCCGUUUAUAACUUUGACUCAUAAAUUGUGUGAGUAGUAUUGCCGAUAUCCCUCUCUCUUUCACACAUACAUCUUCAUUAUAGAUUAUUUCGUAAUCAACAACAAAGUAUGCACCAAAUGCUUUGACAGUUAGUAUCAAGUAGCAACGGCUACCAUAUUAUUAUUGUCUGUCAAACAUAAAAAAAAUAACAUAACAGCGUUACCAUUAUACUGAGUACAUGUGAUUCUGAUCAUGCUCCAUUUAAAAGAUUAUAAUCGGUGAAAGUGCCGAUCCAAUAUCAUAAGGGACAUGAAGUUUUUGUAAAUAAAUUCUAUUUGUACUUUAUCACUGCUUUUACAUAUUAUUGUAAAUAUUAAUGUUUAUUUAUGUUUUAAUCAGCGAGUUAUUAAUUUUAUACCUACAGUAAGUAAUACUCGACUGAAUGGAUAUAAAAUAAUCAAUGUUACACGAAAUUUUUGUCUGUAAUUAGUGAUCGUGUUCAAGUCAAAAGAGAUUUUAUUAAAUAAACCACAAAAAGUUA
RNA transcript from Leptidea sinapis, 5622 nucleotides. RefSeq lists it as uncharacterized. The transcript has 6 exons. The record is from RefSeq and is a predicted model, not a curated record. NCBI's taxonomy places the organism in Eukaryota, Metazoa, Arthropoda, Insecta, Lepidoptera, Pieridae.